GACGAACGCUGGCGGCGUGCUUAACACAUGCAAGUCGAGCGGUAAGGCCCUUUCGGGGGUACACGAGCGGCGAACGGGUGAGUAACACGUGGGUGACCUGCCCUCAGCUCUGGGAUAAGCCUGGGAAACCGGGUCUAAUACUGGAUAUGACUCCAUGACGCAUGUUGUGGGGUGGAAAGCCUUGUGCGGCUGAGGAUGGGCCCGCGGCCUAUCAGCUUGUUGGUGGGGUGANGGCCUACCAAGGCGACGACGGGUAGCCGGCCUGAGAGGACGAUCAGCCACACUGGCACUGCGACGCGGGCCAGACUCCUACGGGAGGCAGCAGUAAGGAAUAUUGCGCAAUGGGCGAAAGCCUGACGCAGCGACGCCGCGUGGGGGAUGAAGGUCUCGGAUUAGUAAACCCUUUCGGGAGGGAAAUGGAACGAGCAAUCGUUCGGAUGGUACCUCCAGAAGCAGCCACGGCUAACUUCGUGCCAGCAGCCGCAGUAA
Molecule: ribosomal RNA, 489 nt
Filed under: uncultured bacterium
Lineage: Bacteria
Description: bacterial SSU rRNA
Rfam family: Bacterial small subunit ribosomal RNA
Source: RNAcentral